Molecule: RNA transcript, 2770 nt
Organism: Dioscorea cayenensis subsp. rotundata (Guinea yam)
Lineage: Eukaryota; Viridiplantae; Streptophyta; Magnoliopsida; Dioscoreales; Dioscoreaceae
Exons: 5
Source: RefSeq, a predicted model, not a curated record
UCUACACAUCUCCCGCGAACCCGUUUGUGCUUUAUCGGAUCCUUUUCAAGAUCCGCUAACUGGAGAUGCCCUGCUUCUAGUUCCGGAGCUCAGCCUCUUUCGAUGUCGUCCUCGGCGGCGAACUCUCCAUCUCCCGCCGCCACCUCCGCCUCCGCAUCCUCGCCAAGACGCGCCUCGCCGACUCCCGUCUCAUCCUCUCCGACGUCGCCUCUGGCCACGGUCGAGCAAGAUCAUAAAGCGAGCAUCUUCGCGUUCGAGUUCCACCAUUAGAGAUGAGGGUUUUGGUGAUGAUCAUGCACCUUCGUCCUCCUCCGAGAUGGGAUGCAUUCCUUCUUCAAUGAUGACAGGAGCUGCACACCCUCUUACCCAUGAUGAAGCUGAUGAUCUUGAGGAUCAAAAAUAGAAGAGGGAAGUUGACUAUGAGGACAUGCCCAAAGCACAUCAUAACAGUGAUACUGGAGGAUCUCAUGAAAGAAAGCUCAGACUAGAUGAGGACACUGCUACAAGGCAUGCUGACUAUAACACAAAUAGGCUACACAAGAAGUACUCUCAAGAAUCGAGAUAGAUAUAUAAAUGCCCCCUCGUAUCAUAGGCAGGGUAUUCCCCCAUAUGAUCAAUUUCAGUCUAUUGAUCAGAAAUAUUAUAAGGGUUCGCAUUUGACAGCAAUGUGAAGAGAUUAAAGGUUGCAUUCUGAGAAAUCAUAUUCUGAGGUACAACGGGUGUCUGAGAACUCUGACAAGCGCAGUAGAGAGAGGAAAUGGCGCAGUUGCAAAAACCAAUCUAUGAAACGCACAAGAAAAAAAAACAACCUGGACAUGAUUGUAGCCAGAGAAGUCAUCAUAGGAGUAUGAAAGAAUUGUCAGAUGACUGGGAAAAAUUUGUGAUAAUUAGUAAAAGGCAUAGGCACCAUUGCCAUAAAAGCACAGGUUGCAUUCUGGAACCUGAUUCUCCCACUGUUGGGGCCAUGCCAGGGAGAAACAGUCAAGCUACACUUCUGGGAAUCCCAAGCAUAAAUCAAAUCAAAUGGAUGACUCAUUCAAAGAUGACAGGUGGGAGAUGGUUGAUGGCUUGGAUGAUGACUAUUGGGGGAGGCAUUAUUAUGGCAAACACAAGUUAAUUUCCUAAAGCUUGCAAGCUUAUUGCUGUUAUAACUAUUUACAGCCAGCUUUGUAGGAGUAGCACCUCAUAUAUGUGGAACUACAGUGGCUACAUCUUCACAGGUAUAUGUACAUAUUGAACCUCACCUUCCCUUUCAAUAAUUGCCAGUCUAUCAUGAGACACACAGGAAAAAUCAUCAUGCAAUGUACAUUUUUAAUCUGGUGUGGUAUUGGGUUGAUGAAAACUAUUAUUUCAUGUCGGCUUAUACAUGUCUAGGAAGUGUUAUUGGGUUGAGAAAAAUGGUUCUCUGUUUGUAGAGGGAUGGUAUAUUGAUGAUCAAAAAGAUAGGGAUGGUAUAUUGAUGAUCAAAAAGAUACUAAUGGAAGUUUUUGAUUUAUAGUGUAGAUCAUGUGUGUGGCAAUUCUGUUUUAGAGUAAGUAGGGUUAGGGUCCCUUCUGAUCCUGCAUAGGUUUAGCUCUGGAAUUUUGUUUUGGGCACAGGUUUCUCCUAUAAAAAAACGUGCAUUGAGGAUCACUUCGCCUGCUGUUUGUACAGAAAAUAUAUUUGGUUGGUAAAGUAAUAUCUUCUUCUUAGUUGCGGAUGACAUUAUUCUGUAUGUUGUUUGCAUGAGUUUAUUGAUUUUGUGCUCUUUGGUUAAAUGAUAUAACAAGGUAUUGUUGGACCACUCUUACAGAAAAGUUCGUAGACAAAAUUUCAUUUGAUAAUAUUGCCGGUGUAUCUUUUUGGAGCCUUAUAUUUUCUAACUGAAAUAGACUGCCACUGAUGGUUCAUCUGGUAAUCCUAAUUAAUUUUCAGAUUUGAUAUCCUGAAUCUUUCUUUAUGUUUCAACUGCUCUAUUUUUUUCCCUGUGCAGACCCAUGCACCUCUUGAUUUCUAAAUACUAGUUUACCUUGUGUUGUUAGAAUUACUAUCAUAAUUAUUUCUUUCUCAUUCUUCAGUGAAGCAAUUCUUAACAUUAUAUAUGACAAUUCAUUAUUAAUCAGUGAUAUGAUUUUUGUCAAACAAUGUAACCCUUUUCAAAUGGUUGUUUUUCCAUGUUUCCCAAGUCUGCAUCUGCAUAUUGUGGUCUUAUUUUUGUCUUGGUAGCUGUUAAUCUACCAAUGGUUUUCAAAACCUUUCUUUUCUAUCCCCAUUCAUAGAUUGUCAUUUGAAUAACAGAAUUAGAUUGGUUCAAAUACAUAUGCCGUCAUGGCUAUACACAAAUUCUAGUGAUUCUAAAUGCUAAUCUAGUUUGCUUCGAAACUGAAAAAUCACUCAAUUGGAUGCUGCACUCAAGUGCCUGUGAAACAGCAAAUUCUGAGACACCAAAAUGUCAUUUCGGUCUUCUUAAACAUAGAAUACUUCAUAGAACUGAGCAAGGAGCAUGCUGCAAACAAUGUUUGAUGUUACUUGAAGUGGCAGAUUUGGAUUGGCUCUGUUGUUUCCUUAAGUAGAUACUAAUCUACAGUUCUAUUCUUUUCAGUGCUUGGUAGUGAAGAAGUGAACACAGUUAUGCAAACUUAUUGUCUUGUUCUUUUACUGCAGUUGGCUGUAGUUUGCAGCAUCUUUGAUUGGUUCUUUGCACAUCUGAAGCAAAUAGAAACAUGAAAAGAUAUUGGACAUCCAAGAUGGUUUUUGGACUAUGAACUAUUUUUUUCCUUGCCAAAUCUUC